Molecule: unclassified non-coding RNA, 333 nt
Filed under: soil metagenome
Description: partial contains 5.8S ribosomal RNA, internal transcribed spacer 2, and large subunit ribosomal RNA
Rfam family: 5.8S ribosomal RNA (bases 1-120)
Source: RNAcentral
GAUGAAGAACGUGGCGAAAUGCGAUAAGUAAUGUGAAUUGCAGAAUUCAGUGAAUCAUCGAAUCUUUGAACGCACAUUGCGCCCGCCAGUAUUCUGGCGGGCAUGCCUGUUCGAGCGUCAUUUCAACCAUCAAGCCCCAGGCUUGUGUUGGAGCCCUGCGGCUGCCGCAGCCUCCCAAAACCAGUGGCGGGCUCGCUAUCACACCGAGUGCAGUAGUUUACUCUUCGCUCAGGGCGUGUGGCGGGUGCUAGCCGUAAAACCCCCAACUUCUCAAGGUUGACCUCGGAUCAGGUAGGAAUACCCGCUGAACUUAAGCAUAUCAAUAAGCGAGGA